UAGUAUCCAUCGUUUACGGCGUGGACUACCAGGGUAUCUAAUCCUGUUCGCUACCCACGCUUUCGUCCCUCAGCGUCAGUGUAUUGUUAGUGAUCUGCCUUCGCAAUCGGUAUUCUAUGUAAUAUCUAUGCAUUUCACCGCUACACUACAUAUUCUAACCACUUCACAAUAACUCAAGUCUUUCAGUAUCAAAGGCAGUUCUAUCGUUGAGCGAUAGGAUUUCACCUCUGACUUAAAAGACCGCCUGCGGACCCUUUAAACCCAAUGAUUCCGGAUAACGCUUGGAUCCUCCGUAUUACCGCGGCUGCUGGCACGGAGUUAGCCGAUCCUUAUUCUUACAGUACCGUCAGCUUGGUACACGUACCAAGGUUUCUUCCUGUAUAAAAGCAGUUUACAACCCAUAGGGCAGUCCUCCUGCACGCGGCAUGGCUGGAUCAGAGUUGCCUCCAUUGUCCAAUAUUCCUCACUGCUGCCUCCCGUAGGAGUCUGGUCCGUGUCUCAGUACCAGUGUGGGGGAUCUCCCUCUCAGGACCCCUACCUAUCGCGGUCUUGGUGAGCCGUUACCUCACCAACUAGCUAAUCAAGUGCGGGCUCAUCUUUUGGCAUUAAAACUUUCCCUGUAAAGGCUUAUCCGGUAUUAGCACAAGUUUCCUCGUGUUAUUCCGAACCAAAAGGCAGAUUCCCACAUUAUACUCACCCGUUUGCCACUCAGUAUUGCUACUGCGUUCGACUUGCAUGUGUUAGGCGUGCCGCCAGCGUACGUUCUGAGCCAGGAUCAAACUCU
RNAcentral lists this ribosomal RNA (784 nucleotides) under uncultured bacterium. Its description in RNAcentral is "partial 16S ribosomal RNA". The record is from RNAcentral.